GGGGUAUCCCUACAUAGCGGGUGG
This 24-nucleotide non-coding RNA is filed under the name Arabidopsis thaliana (thale cress). The record is from RNAcentral. Lineage: Eukaryota; Viridiplantae; Streptophyta; Magnoliopsida; Brassicales; Brassicaceae.